UAACUUGACGUUGUUUUAAAGUUAAUAUAAAGUUGCGAGCUUAUGUGCAGGAACGACGGGGGGACGAGAGGGAAAGUCAGAAAGCAUGACGAUAAGCAAAGUGUCCCGCAGUAAGAUGAGCGUGACAGAGGUAGAGGAGUUUCUUAAAAAGCCGCCGGCCGGUUUCACGGUGGAGCGUCUUCCCUCGGGCCGCCGUGUCCGCAGCGACUCGGACACAUGUCUGGUGCUCAUCGAUGAUUUCUGCUCCUGCCGGGGGAGAGUGGCUUUCCAGGACUCGCUGGGGAGAAAAGUUAAAAUGCAUAAUUUAUGGGAGUACACGCGUGUCAGAAACAGCCUGCUGUCCAAGAGGAUUUAUCUGCUGAUGUCUGCCUGCGAGGAAAGCUUUCCACUUCCCGGCAAGAAGUCAGCCAAACAACCCAGAGUGUUGAAGCAGUAUGUCGUGUCCAUUGAUGGGAAUGACCCGUACAUCAGGUGGGAGAUGGAGAGAGGGCUGGACUGGGCCAUUUCCUCUGUCGCCGGGGAAAGCUACAGGGUGGAUAUUGACUUAAGCGAGGUGUUGCAGAUGUGGGCAGGAAGAAACUUCCGUGUUGUAACGGACAACGGGAGCGUCACACCUGUGUGGACAGAUACCUCCUUCACCCUGAAGUAUUAUUCUGAUGCUCUGUUUGACUUCCCACACUGGCUUGGAUUCAGUAAACGGAAAUUUAAGUUGGGGCUGGUCUGAGUUAGUGCUCAAUGGAAACCAAGUGCAUCUACCCUGUUUUUGGUGGAAUCCAUGUCUGCUCUCACAAGAAAACAGGAAGAGGAGCUCCUUGAUCCAUCGAUAAUGGCCCUCAUGAGUGAAAUCUUCAUGAUGGUCAUUUAGAUGAGGAGUUUUCAAACUCUUUCAUGUUCAGGACCCCCAGGUCAAGUUUCACCAAGCUGCAGACCUCCAUUUGAAGUGAUUUUUCCCUGAUAUGAAAGAUAUUUUGGUUUGUGAUAAAGUGUUCAGGUGUCAUACUUGGUCAUUGACCAACAGAUUCAAACUGGAGAGAUUAAAACAUUAUUAAAAUAUCACUCAUAUAUUGUAUCGUAACAGAUUUUAGUGAAUUAAAUGAUAGUGAAAUUAAACAACUCCUCAUUUUGCCGAGGACCAACUGGAAGCCCCUCAAAGACCCCUGGGAGUCCCCAGACCCCACUUUGAAAGCACCGAUUUAGGAUAUUCUGUAUCAGAUCAACCUACAUUAUAGGACUGCAGGAACUAUUUUUGUAGUUGCUUUUGGAGUCCAGAUAUUUCUUCUGUUCAUUGGAUGUAAACAUUGAUUUAAACAUUGUCAAACUGCACAUCUCAUGAUUCAAAUGAUGUCUGUAUUUGAGUUUAGAAGUUAAGUUUUAUAUGUGUGUGUUUUUGUAAGAUUUAUAAGUGUUGUAGGAGUUAAUUGGGAAAACAGUCUGUUUAUUUGAGUAAUAAUAUAUGGAGACUUAAAUAAAUGAAUCAGUUUUCUUAGAGCGGAAGA
Molecule: RNA transcript, 1496 nt
Organism: Myripristis murdjan (pinecone soldierfish)
Lineage: Eukaryota; Metazoa; Chordata; Actinopteri; Holocentriformes; Holocentridae
Gene: medag
Gene name: mesenteric estrogen dependent adipogenesis
Exons: 6
Source: RefSeq, a predicted model, not a curated record